This 29-nucleotide non-coding RNA is filed under the name Mus musculus (house mouse). Lineage: Eukaryota; Metazoa; Chordata; Mammalia; Rodentia; Muridae. The record is from RNAcentral.
UAAAUUUAUUGGCGCUGGGAUUGAAGCAC